UACGAAGGGGGCUAGCGUUGUUCGGAAUUACUGGGCGUAAAGCGCACGUAGGCGGACUAUUAAGUCAGGGGUGAAAUCCCGGAGCUCAACUCCGGAACUGCCUUUGAUACUGGUAGUCUAGAGACCGAGAGAGGUAAGUGGAACUCCUAGUGUAGAGGUGGAAUUCGUAGAUGUUAGGAAGAACACCAGUGGCGAGGGCGGCUUACUGGCUCGGAAUGGACGCUGAGGGGCGAAAGCGUGGGGAGCAAACAGG
Molecule: unclassified non-coding RNA, 253 nt
Filed under: uncultured Alphaproteobacteria bacterium
Lineage: Bacteria; Pseudomonadati; Pseudomonadota; Alphaproteobacteria
Description: contains 16S-23S intergenic spacer region
Rfam family: Bacterial small subunit ribosomal RNA
Source: RNAcentral